AACCUGGUUGAUCCUGCCAGUAGUCAUAUGCUUGUCUCAAAGAUUAAGCCAUGCAUGUCUAAGUUCAAGCGAAAAUAAAGUGAAACCGCGAAUGGCUCAUUACAUCAGUUAUGGUUCCUUAGAUCGCACUUACUACUUGGAUAACUGUGGUAAUUCUAGAGCUAAUACAUGCGCUGGACUCCAACCCUUGUGGAAGGAGUGCUUUUAUUAGAUCAAAGCCAAUCGGGCCUUCGGGUCCGUUUAAUUGGUGACUCUGAAUAACUUUGCUGAUCGCAUGGUCUCGUACCGGCGACGUAUCUUUCAAGUGUCUGCCUUAUCAACUGUCGAUGGUAGGUUAUGCGCCUACCAUGGUGGUAACGGGUAACGGGGAAUCAGGGUUCGAUUCCGGAGAGGGAGCCUGAGAAACGGCUACCACAUCCAAGGAAGGCAGCAGGCGCGCAAAUUACCCACUCCCAGCUCGGGGAGGUAGUGACGAAAAAUAACGAUACGGAACUCUUACGAGGCUCCGUAAUCGGAAUGAGUACACUUUAAAUCCUUUAACAAGGAUCUAUUGGAGGGCAAGUCUGGUGCCAGCAGCCGCGGUAAUUCCAGCUCCAAUAGCGUAUAUUAUUAUUGUUGCGGUUAAAAAGCUCGUAGUUGGAUCUCGGUUUCGGGCGAGUGGUGCACCUUGCGGUGUUUACUGCCAGCCCGGACGAUUUUGUUGGUUCGUUUAUAGUUCUCUUAAUCGAGUGCUAUAAGUGGCCAGCACGUUUACUUUUGAAAAAAUUGGAGUGCUCAAAGCAAGCAGCUACAGCCUGAACAUUAAUGCAUGGAAUAAUGAAUAGGAUCUCGGUCUAUUUCGUGGCUUCGGGGUCGAGUAUUGAUAAUAGGACAGGACGGGGCAUCGUACUGCGACGUAGAGGUGAAUACUGCAUCGUCCGAGACGAACUACUGGCGAAGCAAUGCAAGAUGUUCAUAUCAGACCGAGGUAAAGUCCGAGGCAUCGAUACCGCUAAGUCUGACCUAACGAUUCGAUCGAAUCGAUCGUGAACUGAUGACUACGUAAGCUCGGUACAGACUGAUCGGAGUAUGGCAGUGGACUCAU
This 1084-nucleotide ribosomal RNA is filed under the name uncultured eukaryote. Its description in RNAcentral is "bacterial SSU rRNA". It matches the Rfam family "Eukaryotic small subunit ribosomal RNA". The record is from RNAcentral.